AAUCACACGGGGCCCAAAUAUAAUCACGGGGCCCGGGCCCGGCGUGGGGGUUGUAGGCCGGCGCCACAGCCUGAGGACACCGCGACCUCUGCCCCGCGGAGCGCGCCGAAUGCCGGGAAACUUUGCGGAAUGUGUCCAGGUGUUGAAGCUCUUGAUGGCGAAAGGAACAGCAAGAGGACCUUGUGCAUGAAUAAUUUGUUUCCAUACUACAGAAAGAAUCCCAGACUUCUUAGAGAACCCAGUGACUUUUUGCACCUUAAAUCUGUGAAAUCCUCAUGUUUUCUUCUGCCGUAUCCAUAGUUCAAACAAAGAUGAGGCAAAGCUAGACGCAUUCCUGAAGGAACCCAAGAAAUUCCUCUCUUUCUCUCUCUGGAAUGAAAUGAAUUCUCUAGACCACCAGUUCUAACCUUCAAAAACCAAACCUGUUUGUGAGCUGUCCUUCAAAUACUACUGUAGACCCCAGUGUUUAUUCAUUAAAUUUUUUAAAUAUUUGUUUUAUUUGGA
RNAcentral lists this long non-coding RNA (504 nucleotides) under Homo sapiens (human). RNAcentral's name for it is "family with sequence similarity 41 member C". Lineage: Eukaryota; Metazoa; Chordata; Mammalia; Primates; Hominidae. The record is from RNAcentral.